This 287-nucleotide ribosomal RNA is filed under the name uncultured bacterium. RNAcentral's name for it is "partial 16S ribosomal RNA". It matches the Rfam family "Bacterial small subunit ribosomal RNA", at positions 225 to 507 of the family's 1533-position model. The record is from RNAcentral.
AUAGGCUUGCGUCUGAUUAGCUAGUUGGUGUGGUAACGGCACACCAAGGCUACGAUCAGUAACUGGUCUAGAGAGGAUGAUCAGUCACACUGGAACUGAGACACGGUCCAGACUCCUACGGGAGGCAGCAGUGAGGAAUAUUGGGCAAUGCUCGAAAGAGUGACCCAGCAACGCCGCGUGGAGGAUGAAGGUAUUCUAUAUCGUAAACUCCUUGUGAGAGCAGACGAAAGACAGAUUAUUUAAUCUGGAUGGCUGUAUGCUCAGAGGAAGCCCCGGCUAACUACGUG